RNAcentral lists this ribosomal RNA (520 nucleotides) under uncultured bacterium. RNAcentral's name for it is "bacterial SSU rRNA". It matches the Rfam family "Archaeal small subunit ribosomal RNA", at positions 345 to 866 of the family's 1478-position model. The record is from RNAcentral.
AACCUCCGCAAUGUGAGAAAUCGCGACGGGGGGAUCCCAAGUGCCAUUCUUAACGGGAUGGCUUUUCAUUAGUGUAAAGAGCUUUUGGAAUAAGAGCUGGGCAAGACCGGUGCCAGCCGCCGCGGUAACACCGGCAGCUCUAGUGGUAACAAUUUUUAUUGGGCCUAAAGCGUCCGUAGCCGGUUUAAUAAGUCUCUGGUGAAAUCCUGCAGCUUAACUGUGGGAAUUGCUGGAGAUACUAUUAGACUUGAGACCGGGAGAGGUUAGAGGUACUCCCAGGGUAGAGGUGAAAUUCUGUAAUCCUGGGAGGACCGCCUGUUGCGAAGGCGUCUAACUGGAACGGUUCUGACGGUGAGGGACGAAAGUUAGGGGCGCGAACCGGAUUAGAUACCCGGGUAGUCCUAACUGUAAACGAUGCGGACUUGGUGUUGGGGUGGCUUUGAGCUGCUUCAGUGCCGAAGGGAAGCUGUUAAGUCCGCCGCCUGGGAAGUACGGUCGCAAGACUGAAACUUAAGGAAUU